This 378-nucleotide long non-coding RNA is filed under the name Elaeis guineensis (African oil palm). Its description in RNAcentral is "long non-coding RNA (EGUI_LNC017779)". Lineage: Eukaryota; Viridiplantae; Streptophyta; Magnoliopsida; Arecales; Arecaceae. The record is from RNAcentral.
GGCCACGUUCUGAGGAGAAAAAUCACGCUCAACCUACGGCGGGCGUGAUCAAUAUGAUUUCAUUGGGCCCAUGACUCCAGAGGGCAGACGACUUCGAAAGCACCUCCAAGUGCCAGUGGGCAAACAACGACAUCAUUUUCACUAAGGAAGAUCUAUGAGGAGUUCAGACUCCUAUAAUGAUGCUGUUGUUAUAUCAAUGAUAGUAGCUAAUUAUGAUGUAAAACGAUGUCUUGUUGAUAAUGAAAGUUUUACUGAUGUAAUUUUUUAUGACUGUUUUUUCUGAAUGUAACUUUCUACUAGCCUUCUCAAAUCAGUCAACAUUUCUCUAGUCAGGUUCACUGGCGACUUGAUGAAAGUAGAAGGAGAAAUUGAACUCCC